CUUCCGUAAGGUGAACCUGCGGAAGGAUCAUUACCGAGUGCGGGCCCUCGCGGCCCAACCUCCCACCCUUGUCUCUAUACACCUGUUGCUUUGGCGGGCCCACCGGGGCCACCUGGUCGCCGGGGGACGCACGUCUCCGGGCCCGCGCCCGCCGAAGCGCUCUGUGAACCCUGAUGAAGAUGGGCUGUCUGAGUACUGUGAAAAUUGUCAAAACUUUCAACAAUGGAUCUCUUGGUUCCGGCAUCGAUGAAGAACGCAGCGAAAUGCGAUAAGUAAUGUGAAUUGCAGAAUUCCGUGAAUCAUCGAAUCUUUGAACGCACAUUGCGCCCCCUGGCAUUCCGGGGGGCAUGCCUGUCCGAGCGUCAUUUCUGCCCUCAAGCACGGCUUGUGUGUUGGGUGUGGUCCCCCCGGGGACCUGCCCGAAAGGCAGCGGCGACGUCCGUCUGGUCCUCGAGCGUAUGGGGCUCUGUCACUCGCUCGGGAAGGACCUGCGGGGGUUGGUCACCACCAUGUUUUACCACGGUUGACCUCGGAUCAGGUAGGAGUUACCCGCUGAACUUAAGCAUAUCAAUAAGCGGAGGAAU
This 584-nucleotide ribosomal RNA is filed under the name Talaromyces pinophilus. RNAcentral's name for it is "eukaryotic LSU rRNA". The stretch from base 212 to 365 matches the Rfam family "5.8S ribosomal RNA". The record is from RNAcentral. Lineage: Eukaryota; Fungi; Ascomycota; Eurotiomycetes; Eurotiales; Trichocomaceae.